GACGCUGGGGACGCGAGCGGCGGAUGGGUGAGUAACACGUGGGGAACCUGCCCCAUAGUCUAGGAUACCACUUGGAAACAGGUGCUAAUACCGGAUAAUAAAGCAGAUCGCAUGAUCAGCUUAUAAAAGGCGGCGUAAGCUGUCGCUAUGGGAUGGCCCCGCGGUGCAUUAGCUAGUUGGUAAGGUAACGGCUUACCAAGGCAAUGAUGCAUAGCCGAGUUGAGAGACUGAACGGCCACAUUGGGACUGAGACACGGCCCAAACUCCUACGGGAGGCAGCAGUAGGGAAUCUUCCACAAUGGACGCAAGUCUGAUGGAGCAACGCCGCGUGAGUGAAGAAGGUUUUCGGAUCGUAAAGCUCUGUUGUUGGUGAAGAAGGAUAGAGGUAGUAACUGGCCUUUAUUUGACGGUAAUCAACCAGAAAGUCACGGCUAACUACGUGCCAGCAGCCGCGGUAAUACGUAGGUGGCAAGCGUUGUCCGGAUUUAUUGGGCGUAAAGCGAGCGCAGGCGGAAGAAUAAGUCUGAUGUGAAAGCCCUCGGCUUAACCGAGGAAUUGCAUCGGAAACUGUUUUUCUUGAGUGCAGAAGAGGAGAGUGGAACUCCAUGUGUAGCGGUGGAAUGCGUAGAUAUAUGGAAGAACACCAGUGGCGAAGGCGGCUCUCUGGUCUGCAACUGACGCUGAGGCUCGAAAGCAUGGGUAGCGAACAGGAUUAGAUACCCUGGUAGUCCAUGCCGUAAACGAUGAGUGCUAAGUGUUGGGAGGUUUCCGCCUCUCAGUGCUGCAGCUAACGCAUUAAGCACUCCGCCUGGGGAGUAC
Molecule: ribosomal RNA, 819 nt
Filed under: Lactobacillus helveticus
Lineage: Bacteria; Bacillati; Bacillota; Bacilli; Lactobacillales; Lactobacillaceae
Description: bacterial SSU rRNA
Rfam family: Bacterial small subunit ribosomal RNA
Source: RNAcentral